Molecule: transfer RNA, 92 nt
Filed under: Betaproteobacteria bacterium RBG_16_56_24
Lineage: Bacteria; Pseudomonadati; Pseudomonadota; Betaproteobacteria
Also listed under: 3 other names
Description: tRNA-Leu
Rfam family: tRNA
About the family: Transfer RNA (tRNA) molecules are approximately 80 nucleotides in length. Their secondary structure includes four short double-helical elements and three loops (D, anti-codon, and T loops). Further hydrogen bonds mediate the characteristic L-shaped molecular structure. tRNAs have two regions of fundamental functional importance: the anti-codon, which is responsible for specific mRNA codon recognition, and the 3' end, to which the tRNAs corresponding amino acid is attached (by aminoacyl-tRNA synthetases). tRNAs cope with the degeneracy of the genetic code in two manners: having more than one tRNA (with a specific anti-codon) for a particular amino acid; and 'wobble' base-pairing, i.e. permitting non-standard base-pairing at the 3rd anti-codon position.
Source: RNAcentral
GCCCGGGUGGUGAAAUUGGUAGACACAACGGACUUAAAAUCCGUCGCAACCGUAAAAAGUGCGUACCGGUUCGAUUCCGGUUCCGGGCACCA